UUGCUUUGGCAGCACAUGUACCAAAAUUGGAGCAAUACAGAGAAGAUUAUCAUGGCCGCUAUACAAGGAUGACAUAUAAACUAAUGAAGUGUUCCAUUUUUAA
This is a small nuclear RNA of Sciurus vulgaris (Eurasian red squirrel), 103 nucleotides long. NCBI's taxonomy places the organism in Eukaryota, Metazoa, Chordata, Mammalia, Rodentia, Sciuridae. The record is from Ensembl.